AUUUACACCGGGGAAAACUGUGCACAACACCGGUUCUACACAACAAACAGAAACUUCGUCUUGAAAAUUGUUCUGUAAAUAGAAAUGUUGCAAUAUUUGUGGAGAUGAAGCUGGACUGUUUGGUUUUUGUUGGUGAUCGAUGAUCGUGUGAUAAAGAUGGCCAGCAACAGAGGCAAGAAUUUGGCCAAACGACGGGGGAAAACCCGAUUCUGGCUUCAAGACAGAAAAUCUGUGAACGAUGUCGACGGUUGGGGAAAACACGGUGGUUAUAUGAAUGCCAAGAAGAAGAAAUUGAACGACCAAUUCCAGUCCGUUGCCUUUAGUGAGUUACAGAAGACAAGCCAUUGUUCAGAUAUCUUCAAAGACGUAACAAUAUACAUUAAUGGUUAUACAAAACCAAGCAGUGAUGAGCUGAAACGAUUGAUGAUGAUCCAUGGAGGACAUUGGGAGAUGUACCUGAGCAAGAAGAACGUCACGCACAUAAUUACAACCAAUUUAGCUCAAAGCAAGAUUGCUGCCCUCAGGAAUUACAAAGUUGUUCACCCUGACUGGAUACUAAAGAGUAUUGAAGCUGAAAGAUUGCUACCAUGCCAACCAUUUCUGCUCUACUCAGCUCAGUCCAAGAUGCAAAGAGGAAUUGCACAGUUUUCCACUUCUCUCCCCAAGGCUGAGGCAUCGAAAGAGGGACCAACUCAUUUGGAGGCUUCUAGGGACUUUCAUCUGACAGAAACGUCAACACCAUCCAGCAACAACAACAACACUGAGGUAAAAGAGAGAAGUGGUCCCCCUGAGCUAAAGAUUGUCCACAGUGGAAGUUCUGAUGAUCUCUUCUUCUCCAGCUCAGACAACUUGUCUCAAGAAUCUAAUCAGGAAACGAAAUGUAAAACCAACAUCUCAACUAAAAAUGAGGUCUUAACAGAGGCUGUUUCUCUGUCUGCUGUAACCAAGGCAACGUCAAUGACAACAACAACGACAACGACAACGACAGUUACGCCUUCUGAAGAAUGUCCUACGUUGAUCGUCGUAUCCUCCGACUCUGAGAAAGAAGAUGAAAUUGUCGUUACUGAUCAUGUGAAGAAAGUUGACACAUUACCACCAAACAACAACAACAACGAUAGCAGCAUCAACACCACCACAACUUUAUCAACAAAUACAGGUGUCCAACACACGGGCAGUUCUCGAGCCCAAACUGCCCGGGAUCCAAACUACCUCCAGCAGUUUUACACCAACUCUCGACUCCAUCAUCUUUCCACCUGGAAGGCCGAAUGGAAAGAUUAUGUGAAUAAACUAAAGUCAUCGAAUACCAAGGAAUUUCCCGGAAGACAGAAACUAAAAGAUGUGUGCAGUAAGGUGCAGUCACCAUCACUUACAGAUUCCAUUAUGCACAUUGAUAUGGACUCCUUUUUUGUUGCUGUUGCAAUGAGAGAUCGUCCCCAUUUGAAAGAUAAGCCUGUAGCUGUGACCCAUAGUCGGAAAAAGGGGCCAAAGGAGAAUAAUCCUGGUGUAGACUUGGAUUACGAAAGACAGCAGUGGUCAAAACGCCGUCAAGAAAAUGCUUUGAAGAAAAUGGGACCGAAUACGUGUCAGAGAAACACUUUAGCUCUGGAUGAAGAAUUUGAAGAUGAAGAGGAAGGGAGUGAAGCAGAGGAAAAAGAUGAAGACCUCGAGAAUACUUCAAACGAGAAGAGACAUUCUGUUAAUAAGCAGAGUUUUAAUUCUUUGUCUGAGAUUGCUUCCUGUAACUACGUUGCUCGUCAAUUUGGCCUCAAGAAUGGAAUGUUUGUUGGAGAUGCUCUUAAACUUUGCCCAGACAUCAUAACCAUUCCCUAUGAAUUUGACAAAUACCAAGCAGUGUCGAAGAUCCUUUAUGAUACAGUUGCAAGCUAUACACAUGAUAUUGAAGCGAUCAGCUGUGACGAAAUGUUUGUUGACUGUCGUGGAAUUCUACAGGAAACUGGUGUGGCUCUGAAGGACUUCAUUUCUGUUCUCAGACAAGAAAUCUUUGAUAAAACUGGAUGUACAGCAUCGGCUGGCCUUGGUCCUAAUAUUUUGGUAGCAAGAUUGGCGACAAUCCGUGCCAAGCCAAACGGGCAGUUUCUUGUGGAAAAACGUGAAGUGGAGGCUUUCAUGCAGAAGCAACUUGUUAAAAGUCUGCCAGGUGUUGGUAGGUCUAUGAUGUACAAAUUACAGCACCUGAGUGUGGAGACAUGCGAGGACUUGCAGAAGAUUCCAUUGGUUAAGCUCCAGCAGAGUUUUGGUCAAAAAACAGGUCAGAUGUUAUAUAACAGCUGUCGAGGAAUCGAUAACCGCAGGCUGGAGUUGGAACAUAACAGGAAGUCAGUGUCAGCAGAGAUAAAUUAUGGCAUACGCUUCACUAAGGAAAGUGAUAUGGAGGAUUUCCUGUUAAAUCUGUCUGGAGAAGUGGAGAGAAGAUUGAAGAAUGUGAACAAACGGGGUAAAUCUAUAACCUUGAAGUUGAUGGUACGACGGGAAGAUGCACCCCUGGAGACGGCCAAGUAUAUGGGCCAUGGUUUAUGUAACAAUAUCAGUAGGGCUAUGAGUGUUGCCAUAGCUACAGACAAUGCUGCCAGAAUAGCCAGGGAGUGUAUGACGUUGUUUAAAGCCCUUCAUCUACCUGUGAACUCCCUACGAGGGGUUGGCAUUACCAUCCAACGUCUUGAAGACACGGCACCAGCCAGACACCACACUGGCGACUCUACAAAGACCUCAAGCAUUCUCCAGUUCACCAAAGCGAUGCCAACCCCAAAUCAGAAGGAGGAGGAGGAACAGCAGCAGCAGCAAACGCAGAACGGAAAUGAGACACAAUCCGAAGUUGAUGACAGUGACUUUGCAGUCAUGAGACCAGUUCCUGUCAAACAGUUUGGAACUCUUAAUUUCAAAGAAGAAUUGCUAAGGCAAUAUCACAGCAGCCAGUUACCUCCCUUGCCCAGGUUGCCCAGCCAGUUGAGUCCCACCAGAACGAACCAGAUGAAACCGGCUGUGACAGGUGAACCAGAAGAUUUCCUUCCAUCACCUUCCCAGGUUGACGAGAAUGUUCUGAAAGAACUUCCUGAUGACAUCUGCAAUCAAAUUAAAACUGCUCUCGAGGAAAAGAAGGCCAAAAGAAAAACAUCUGCUGCUUAUGGUAGUAGUAGUAGUAGUAGUGGUGGUGGUGGUGGUGCAUUGGCCCAUGAUGAACAACCAGGCUGUUCGUAUUGGUCUGAGACCACAAUUUCAGACGAGAACGGACAAGGGGCCGAUAGCAUGGAGGAACCAGUAAAGGAAAACCAGAAUUUAUCCCAAAUUGAAAGGGAAUUGUUACCUAAUUUAUCACAGCUUGAUGAGAGUUGCUUUAAUGCGUUGCCAGAGGAUAUACAAGAAGAGAUGAAGAUGGCCAUAACUGACCGACAGAACAGGAAAAACAACAUGGAAGCUGAUGACCAGCUGGAGCUACCGUUAUUAUUGUCACCGUCCAAAGGGGGCACCAUGAAAAAAUCACCCACGAAAAAAUCACCUACAAAAAAAUCAACGAAACCCACCAAGAAGAGGUCCCCUUCCAAGAAGGGAUCACCUUCAAAAAAGAGGUCCCCUGCCAAGAGGAGCCCUAAUUUCAAAGUUCCUCAGGGACGACCUAAGAAAAUUCAAAAAUCUUUGAAUAAUUUAUUGAAUAUCAGAAAAAACCUGUUCCUGUAUGGUGACCACCUCCACCUACAGACAAAGACAGAAGUGAGGGAAGCGGAAGGGGAGAAGACGGAGAAGGAACUGAAAGAAGCGAAAGAGAGGGAGAAGCACUUCCAGGCUGCGAGUCUGUGUGGUGCUGUGACGAUAGAACAAGUACGCAGCUUACUGAGUGAGUGGUUGCAACCGUCGCGGGCGCCCUGCCCUGAUGAUGAGCAGUUUGUGAUAAAGUACCUGAAAGAUCUCAUUUACAGUAAAAAUCUGGAACAGCUUGACUUGGUGUUGAAAUUCCUCUACAGAAAAAUGGGGAAACUUUCUACAGAAGAUUGGUGGAAAAGUCUGAAGAGAGUUGUUGAUGACGUCCAGUGUGUAAUGAUAGCAGAAUAUAACACCCCCCUACAGCUUAGUUUCUCUAUCCCUGUUACAUGACCAUCACUUGACCAUAACCUAUCUUGAGGCCUCGUCAUCAUUUGACCUUACUCAUGUCAUCACCUGACCAUCGCUUCACUGUCAUGUGACUAUUUGGUAACUUGUCAGGUGACCAUCACUUUACCAUCAUAUGACCAUUAGCUGAGUGUAAGGUAAUUCAUCACCUAACCAUUGAGUGACCAUCACUUUACCAUCAUGCGAUCAUCUUGUGACCAUCACUCUGCCAUCAGGUGGUCAUCAUUUUACUACAGGCUGACCAUCUUGUGACCAUCACUUUGCCUUCAGGACUCUAUCACUUUACCAUUGUGUGACCAUAAGAUGACCUUAAGGUAACCAUCAUGUGAAAUUCUGGAGACCAUCAUUUAAUCAUGUGAUUAUAAAUUGACCACAAGGUGAUCAUCACUUCAUUGCUGAGCAACUGUUGGCUGACCACCACAUGACCAUCACUUUAUCAUUGUGUAACCAUACUGUGACCAUCACUUCAUCACUGAGUGGCCAUUGGCUGACCAUCAUGUAACCGUUGUAUAACCAUAUGAAAUUCUGGUGACCAUCACUUCACCAUCCAGUAACAUUAAGCUGACCAUCACCUGACCAUAAGACCAUCGCUAUACCAUCGUAAUAUGUUGACUAUAAGAUGGUCAUCACCUCACCAUUCAGUGGCUAUUGCCUGACUAUCAUGCAACUAUCUGGUGAUUAUGCAACCAUCUGGUGACCAGUAGCUGACCAUCAGUUCAUCCAAUAACCAUUACCUGACCAUCAUGCAACCAUCAGGCGAUCCUCAAGUGACCAGUACAGUAAAAGUGUUUUGAGAUGCGAAACAUCUUUUUCUUUUGUCUUUUGUAUAUAUUUUAAAACUUGAUUUUAUAUUUAAUUGUUUUUUCCCCCUCUAUUUUGAAGAUAAUUUUAAUGAAGCAAGAUUCGUUAACCUUAAUUGAUUAUUUUAAGACAAAUAUCAAACCUGAAGAGCUCUUGUUUGCCUUUCACAAUGGUUGCCACCACCAAACAAGUACAAUAAUACCACCACCACAGCCAACAACAACAACAAUAAUAUUACCAUCAAAACUCAACCACUAACAAUAUUACCAUCACUUCCACUGCCAACAAUACCAACAACAGCACCAUUAUCACCACCACCAACAACAACAACA
RNAcentral lists this unclassified non-coding RNA (5255 nucleotides) under Octopus sinensis (East Asian common octopus). RNAcentral's name for it is "dNA repair protein REV1-like, transcript variant X3". The record is from RNAcentral. Lineage: Eukaryota; Metazoa; Mollusca; Cephalopoda; Octopoda; Octopodidae.